UUCCUUUGGAUUGCUGUGAGAUCUUGGACCAGCACCAUGUCUUCUUGAGUUAACUUCAACAGCAAGGUCGUCUUUAACAAGCUUUGACCUAGCCUUGGAUACCACUGGAAUGCUUCCAGGUGAAGAAGAAUCAUUAUCAGACAGAGAUGGCCUUGUUGCCUUGCCACUCGAAACACCGGAUACAAGAGUUGAAGUGUUUGGCAUCCUGCUUGCACUUUUCAUCUGUGUUCUAUGCACAUUCUCACACUGCUCCAUACUGUUUAAGUUUGCAUCCUCUCUGAGGGUACUACUGUCAAGAAACCGAUUCUCCCAUGGACGAACAGCCAUCCAUCUCUCCAGCCAGUUCCAUCCCCAGUUGUUUUUGUCAGGUUGAAAUCCACUGUGCGUAGACAACUGCCUAGUUCCUGCUUGCCACUACAAGACAGAUUUUUUUUUUUUUUUGAAUGAAUGUUAAAUUUAUUCGAUUCAAAAACGUUGUUACAAAGAAUGCAGCUUUACUUCUAUCAGAAAUGGCUAAUAAACUGAAUUUACAAUUGAGAAAUCUGAUUAAUUUGUGUGGUAAGAAAACCAGACUGACAUUGCUCCUUCGUAUCCUUUUCUUCCGGUAUGUUGAAUUGUGGAGAUCUUAUUACGAAUGAUUUGUCAUUCAUAUGCUGCAAUCUACUGGCAGGUUGGUGAUGCUCCCCAUGCUUCCUACGGUUUCUCUCCCUCCAAACCGAGUAAGAGAAAGAAAGAUCCUUAACUAGCAUAGAGGUUGUGAGUAACCUGGUGAGUCAAAGCAUAAGCCAUAGCCCUCUCACGCUUAUCUGCACCUUCCUGCCUCUUUAUCAGCUUUGCUUGGAUUUGUUCAACUGAUCCAAUGCUAUCACACCAACCUUCCUGAUAGAUGAAAAGACAUUGUCAACACAAGUCUAUAACUCUCUCAACAAAAAAUUAAAGUGAUUAUCACCACUAUUUCUCGGACUCUGGCUUCAUCUGCUACCUGCUGCUGAAGUGUCUGCUGACCCGUUUCACAUUCCAAGGAGAGACGAACACGUCUUGCACGUACACGAGCCUAACGCUUGCAUGCACCGAAGCGUUACAGCUGCUUGUUUUCUCACAAUGUGCCCUCUAAUAAGGGCUUGAAGUCUAACCAAACCCUUCAACGCUCUUAAAGCCCUUCUAGCCUAAAAAAAUACAUCAUCCAUAGAGUAGAAAGCAAAACAAUAACAGAUUAUAGGACUUAACAAGGCUAAUAUUGAUACCAGAAAGGCUCGAAAAGCUUAUUGGAUGCGCGUUGCAGCCAUAUAUAUGAUCCUUCCUUUGUUCUUCAUAAGCUGCACUAUAUGAUUGUAGUUAAGUUGAAUUAGAGACUCCAGCCUCUAUCACACUAUGCACAGUAUUUAAAUCUUCAAGUCCAUCUUGGAACUUUUCAGCAUCAAAAUCAACUGAAUGCUUUCUCCCAAACCUGGUCUUGGUAGGAAUCUUGUUUGUGAUUUGGAGAGAAUAAGAGUAAAGAAGGAUUUUAAUUUCCUUAUUUCUUUAGGUUCUUCAUACACUUACAUACGUAGAGUUGUUGGGAUUGAUGCAUGAUCUUAUGAAGUCUUGCCAACUCUUACUUUCAAUAUUCUCUUCAUUUCUUCAUGUCAAUAUUUAGUGGUGGGAACCAAUCCUCUCAUCUACUAACUAAUGAUCUUAUGACAUAAACCACUCGACCAACUAGACUUUUCACAAAACUUCUAACGUUUCCUUUCUCAUAAAAGAGGCUGCACGCAAAUGCUAUCUUCAAAGCCUGUGCAACAAAUGAUGCUAUAGAGAAAACAUAUCAUGUAUGUGGUGGAUCAGGAUUAUACCUAACUUUAGAACUGUAAUUGAGAAAAUGUCAGUAAAACACACAUGUGUGGCUAUGGAAUCAACUACUUUAUUUUACCGAAAAACAUAGUUCUUCAAAUACAGAGAAACAUAAAACAUAUAGCGAAUGAGAAACACACAUUAAUGAUAAACAAGAAACAACAAAUAAAACUUAAACUGUUAUAGUCCGAUCCAUCGACAUACAAACACAAAUAAAAUAUUUUGAAUUAGCUGAAAUGAUAUCAGCCCAACCUUCUUUCUCUGCAGGCCGUCUGGUUUGGUUGCUUGAAUUUAUUCUUCUAGAUUCUUCGCCUUAUAUUUUAAAAGGUAUGGAAAAAGAGAAACAUCAGAUACAUUAAUCUCAGUUAUUCAUUCAUGGUGACAGUUCUACUAUAAUAUAACUUUUUAAAAUUCAGAACAUCACCUCUUCAAUGAGUUGUGGUGUCUGCGUUUGUUUGGGACAAAAGCUUUCAUGAACCACUCUGGUUUGUAGGAAACCAGUAUGUAUCCCAUCGUCAAUCCAAAGAAAACACCUGGUACAAAUCCUAUUGCAGCUGCUAUCCAACUCAGCACCUCUUCUUCAUCUUCAUCUUCAUCUGGAUCUGGCGUUUCAGAUUGUUGACAUGUUGUCGCGUGGAUACAACCACAAACUUGAUCAAGUGAAGGACCAUACAGUCCCGGGUUGUCCUCGAAAGAAGAACAAGGCUGCGUCAGAAACUGAGUUCCCCCUGGCACUAGACCUAUAAGCUGGUUAUGAGAGAAGUUCAUGUAAGCAAGGAACGAGAGGCUCCCAAGCUCUUGUGGAAUCUCUCCUGAAAGAUUGUUUUGCGAAACAUCCAGUGACUCAAGCUCUGCCAGGUUUCCCAGUGAUGAUGGGAUGUGGCCAGUGAAAGCAUUGUUUGAAAAGUUGAGCACAUGAAGCUCUUUCAAUAGACCAAUGGACCUUGGAAUCUCUCCUUCAAAUUUGUUCCCAGAGAAGUCGACUGCUGUGAAGAUUUUUAAGAUACGUUCCAGAUUCCUUUCUACACCUUUAUUAACCAUAACCACUGAAUCAGAAUAAUAAUUUGUACCCAUGUACCUCUCUGCAUAUCUAUCUUCUUUCUUUUCAAUGGAAUACAUUGCCGUCCAAUUAACGAAGAAGUCCGAUGACAAAGUUCCAUUGAAGUGAUUGUGGUUUAUGUCGAUGAUCCGUAACUUAGAAAACGGAGUUUGAUGUAUUAUUGGACCAUGAAAUGCGUUGGAGCGAAGGACAAGAACCUGUAACUCCGGCAGAGACCUCAACCAGAAAGGAAACGUGUCACUGAUUUUGUUGAUCUCCACAUUCAGAACUUGAAGAAAAUGGAUACGGAUGAAUGAUCUUGGAAGCUUUCCCACCAGACGGUUAUGACCGACGUCAAGCUACACUAGACUUUGAGACAUAUUCUCUGGAAUAUCUCCACUAAGAUGAUUUUGUCUAACAUUUAGAACUUCAAGACUUCUGCUAAAAUUUCCCAGACAGCUAGGGAAUGAGCCACUGAAUUUGUUGUUAGACAAAUCGAGAGUGGUUAGAGAGCGCAACUCACAUAUGAAACUAGGGAUCUUGCCCGUGAAAUUGUUGUUGGCGCCAGACAAGUAACUCAGAGAUGUUUUCCGGACAUAAGAUAUCCCAUGUUUCGUUGGGCUUUCAAAACCAAUCAAUGUGUUGUUGGAAGUACUCACGUAUUCAAUAAUUGGAAGCUCCCAUAACCAUCCAGGCACUUGACCUGUGAUUUUGUUGUUAGAAAUGUCUAGUGUUUUCAUGUUGCGUUGGGUUCGUAAGAGCUCCGGAAACUCGAAGAUACCGCAUCCUGACAAGUUCAACUCACCUAAUAAUGGAGGAUCUGAAACCAAGCUACUGUUCUCAGUUGAAACAUGGUUUCCCGAAAGAUCCAGUGUAUGAAGUGACUUCAAAUAUGGUAAGAUUGCAUUCAAGACAAGUGUAGUGGUGGUGUUCAAAUGGGAGAGGGAAAGAGAGUAUAGGGACUUCAGAUGCCAGAAGAUGCUAAGGUCAACAACUGAACCUUGGGUGUUGAGAUGAGAAAGAUCAAGUGUGUCAAGGUUGACCAACUUGGAGAUGGAUCGGGGGAUUGAUCCCAUGAAGUUGUUAUCGCCAAGGCUUAAAUCUUCUAUCCUAGAUGAUUCAGAUAUAUUACCAAGCUCAAGAGUGCCGUUGAGCUGGUUAUUUGACAAAUCAAUAUAAGUUAAAGAAGGAAUGGUAAAGAGAGAAGAAGAAGGGAUAGGUCCAGUAAAAGUGUUGUGUUCUACGUAAAAGAACUCCAAGUUGGAGAGUGAGCCCAUGUUAGGUGGAAGCAUGCCCGAGAAUUGAUUUCCGCUGAUUGAUAUGGAAAUCAGCUUUGUUAGAUUUAGUAGUUUAAGAGGAAAGUUACCAUGAAGGAUGUUGUUUCCAACAUCCAUGUCAGUGAGAUGAUCCGAACUGCCAAAAAAAGAUGAGAUUUCACCAACGAAAUUGUUUUGUGAGAGGUCGAGAACAGUGAGAUGUGAAAGGUUUCCAAAUGAAGAUGGAAAUUCACCAACAAAGUUGUUAGCACAAAGGAUAAGCUCAGUGAGAUUCAAAAGAUUUCCAAGUGAAGAUGGAACUUUACCAGUAAAUUUGUUUUGGGAGAGAUUAUUAAGAGUGGUGAGCUUAGAGAGGUUUCCAAGUGAAGAUGGAAUUUCACCACUGAAAUCAUUACCUGAAAGGUCAAGAGUGGUUAGCUUUGAAAGGUUUCCAAGUGAAGAUGGAAUAUUACCACUGAGCUCAUUACUUGAAAGGUCGAGAGUUGUUAAAAAAGGAAGCCUCUGAAGCAGAAAGAUAGUACUGUUGGAAUUGAACUGACCAUGGAGGCAACUGUCACUAAGGUUCAGCUUGAUCACAUCCCCGAAACUGGCAUCACAUCUGAUACCGUCCCAUGAACAACAAUCGCUGUUAUUCUCCCAUGACUUUAGACGUCGGUCAAGACAAGGCUUUUGAAUCUGGAAUUUGUUCUUGAAAUCCAGAAUCGCAUCCCUUUGGUCAGGAUGACACAAGUGUCUAGCAGGAUCCACAAACACAUCUCGAAAUAAAAAGAGAAAAGAAAUAAAAACAGAGAAGAGACUGAUUGAGUUCUCAUAGUCAUUCAUCUUCUUUACUUUCUUAUCGGUAGUUAUAAUAAAGAAAACAGUUUCAUGUUUCCAUCAGCUUGACUGACUAACGAGUCUUUCUACUAAACACGUUGAAAGUAUUUUUCAAUCUCCCCAUUUGGAAUUUCCACCAGAUUUAUACUUCCCCAGUUUAUCAUUUCUUAACAUGUCCGCAUGAUUUUGUUGACAAGUGAUCCAUAAUCAUGUAACACACUCAAUUGUGUUCUGCUAGAGACGAAUAGUCAAAGUCUAUCAAAAAUGUAUUCUCCUAGACGAAUAGUCAAACUCUAGCAGAGAUAAUCAACCUUCCCCCAUCUUCUAUAUUAAUUGAGAAGUCACUUAACUGAUGUGUACAAACAGUUACUUUAAAAUUGUUUUAACGUGUUUGGUCGAUUUUUUUUAUUUUUAUUUACUUAAAAUACAUUGCAAAACAAGUUAAAGAAAUAAACCAAAAAAGAGUUAGGCUUUUAUUGUUCACCUAACCACGCCAUCUUUCUCGAGUUCUCAUUAUGAUCCCACAAGUAGCAUGUCACUGUGGAUUGAAUCCGCUUGCAGAGCGAAACUGGCAGGCUGAAGCAAGACAUGGGGUAUGAGAGAAUGGCUGAGAGGACAAUUUGAAGCAUGACAAAUUUUUCUGCUGCAGAGAGAAAUUUGUUGGUCCAUCCCCUCGCUUUCUGCUCAAUCCGGUCUAAAAUUAAGGAGAAGAGAUCCCUCUUACGCCUCCCGAAGUGUUCGGGCAAAGCCCAAGUAUUUCUCCACACCACCUUCACUUUGGAUCUGCAACACAUCUUUAACCAUUGUUUUCAGCGAGGCUGGCGCUUUCCGGGAAAAUGAGAUAGCAGAUUUGUCUUUAUUUAUUGACUGCCCAGACACGUGUUUGUAUUUUCUCAAAAUGGACUUAAGGGCUGCACAAUUCUCCUUAUCGGCCUGGAGGAAGAACAUUGUAUCAUCCGCAAAAAAAAAGGUGAAUUAAUCGAGGACUGCCUCUAGCCACUUUCAAACUUUGAAGUAGGCCUUCUUCUUGCACUUUGUUACAUAAUCUCGAAAGAAUUUUACUACACAUAAUGAAUAUGUAGGGUGAAAGAGGAUCACCUUGACAGAUUACUCUGCUCGGUAUUAUGUUCUCUCUAGGCAAACUAUUAAUGAAGGAGUAUUUAAUAGAAGUGAUACAAUGCAUUAUGCAUCUGAUCAAGUUUUGGUGGAAUCCCAACCGGUUUAAAACUAACGUGAUAUCUCUACUUUGAUCAUGAUUACAGUAUACAAGUUAUAGGGUAAUUUAAUUUUCAUGUACCAAAAAUUUGAAAAACCUUUUUCUCUUAACCAUUUUCACAAUUAAAACUUAAACUUACAUAUUCGUACAAUUACAAACUUAAAAUUACACAACUCAAAUUUUGACUCUAGAUUACAUGACAAUUUCACCUGACGUAGACCUUAUUUAAUUUAAAAGGAGUCCCAAUCCUACAAGAGAAAUCAACAAAAUCAGACGAGAAAAAAAGAAGAAAAAGAAAACCAAAAAAGCAUACAAGUAAAAGCCAGGAACGACAUAAAAUGCGAUGCACAUAUAUUCAUAUUCCUCUGAGAGGUUUUACCCUUGAAUCUGUUCUUAUUAUAGCCACGAAAUAGCAAGAAAUGUUUCACGUUGGCAUUGAUAUGUCAUACGUGCAUGGGCAUAUUUUGCAUACGAAUCAAACCAAGGUAAUUUUUAGAUGGUGAGGUUUUCUUUGAUCACAAAGCCUGUGUCUAUAAUCCUGCCACCAAGACCUGGGAAUGUCUCGCAUCCAGGAAGAGAACUCACUUUGCCUGCCCUAUCGACUUGAACGGGAUACUUUAGAAGAUGACUUGUCAUCUCUGUGACUUCCUCUGCUGCAUACUGUCUCCAGUUAAGCUCACUCAAUCUCCUAACUCGUCUCACGCAUUCCAUGUUCUCUGGAUUUUCGAAACCUUUCUCUAGAGACCCUAGAUGUUCCGCCCACAGCGACAUUCUGUAUCCAAAGAUCUGCAAGAAAUAGGGAAAUAUGCAACAAAACCAUGUUUUAGAGGAGCAAGAUUUGUAAAUUGGUGACUGUGAUCUCAAACUUUCCUAAUUAUAAGGAAAUAUAUUCUAGGAGAUCUCAUAAUCCCCGAGAUCUCAUAAUAGACUGUGGUGGCUACUAAAGCUCCAAGCCUGUGAAGCCGAAGGAAACACUCUCUAAAACAGAUUGGUGGGUUUCUGGUUUUUAGUUAUUUGAAUGCAAACUCAGAUUGAAAUUUUAUUACCUGCCCACGAGGAUGAGAACCUUUCUUAGCCCAUGAGUGGUGUGGUUGAUAUCCUCCCAUUGCGAUUUCAGUGUCUCUAGAUCCUUCCAGGGAUCUCUCGUUGAUAUUCGCAGAACCAAUUAAGACAAACUCAUCGUCCACUAUCAUACCUUUGGAAUGAACAUAUAUCAUGAAUCUUCGACUCUUCAAAGCUUCCACCUGGUUUAUUUUGUUGUUUUAGUGAGAAAAAUGUUAUUAAAGCGAAGACUUCAACAAUCUAUAUGCAUAUACCUGUGGGCCAUCUUCUUCCUUUGUGUUGUUGUUAACGUUUCCAUCAGCAACCUCUCUGGUUCCAAGACAGAAGAAGUUCAAAUAGUCUUGUGGCUCAUACUGACCAUCAAGUUCAGCUUCCACAAGUGCCUUGUAGAUAGUUAGAUACAUCAUUUGCAUGGUUUUAUACUGCAGAAAUGAUGAAAAGAUUCCAGUGUAAAGGAUGCGAGAUUGUUAUUCAAGUCAGUUAAUAUUUAGCAAACUAAGUAUUUACCUGAUAUUGUAAAAUGCUCUGCGUAACGAUACCCGUUGGAUCACCUUCUGGCAGCAUUGGAAUGACAAUAUAAGCAGCAAAAUUUUCUCUUGCUCUAAUUUUAUUAGCAAUCUUAAGCGCAAUUUCCAUAGGGAUUAGAUUAUUAGCACCUGCAUUUCAAGAAACUCCUUGUUAUAGUAUUAUUGCACGAGUUGACUGAAUUGCCUUCAAAGCUAACAAUUUUCUUACCAACGAUUUUAUGUGAAUCCCAGUUAAAUGAUGAUCCAAAAAAAUAUUGGUUCUCAAUGUAAAUGAAAUGCUGAGCAGAUCUUAUGGCCUUAACAUAAGCCGUGUGUAUGCUCAUGUCUAUAAGUAUAUUCUUCCCACAUUGAAGAUUCUGUUGACAUCUUAAUAAUCAUCAGUAAAUAGCUACAUUGGUGGUGACUGAAGAUGACAAGUUUAAAAAUGUUCAGAAUUGUGCUUACCCUUGCACUAGCUUCCUUUGAGUCCUCUGGAAACCCUUUGACUGAGGUUGAAUCAAUGGACCGAAAAACCUAAAUAAAUAGUAAAAAAAAAAAUUAAUAAUAUGGGGACUAUUAUUAAUAUAUAGUUACUAUUUUACAAUUUUACAAUUUUUUUUGAGUUAUACAUUUUUGAAGUAUAUAUAUAUAAGAAUAAGAAGAAGGAUUUAUUUUACUGUUGAUAUACUGAUUAAAUCUAUACUAUUAUUUGCGAAGUAAAUUUUUGAAACGGAGCUCUCACGUUAAAAGUUAGAGCGGUUAAUAUCGUUUAUACCCUUAAUGAAUAUCUAUAUAAAUUAGUCAAAAAAAAAAUAAAAAAACGAAUUUCAAAUCAAUCUGAUUAAAAAAGUGAUUAAAAUUAAUAAUAAAUCGUUUAUACCCUUAAUGAAUAAAUGAUAUAAAUUAGUCAAAAAUAAAAGCAAAUUUAAAAUAUAUCUGAUUAAAUAAGUGAUUAAAAUUAAUAAUAAUAAGAACUAUCUGAAAUAUAAAUAAUUAAAAACAAAUUUCUAUUAAUACUAUUAUAUUUAUAUAUUUAUAUUUAGAUAAUUGACUAUAAAUAAAUAUCAUAAAAUUUUUAAAAAUAAAAACAUGUUUUAAAACAUAAGAUAAUUCUUAGAUAUAUUCUGUUGUUAUCUGAAAAUAAUAUUUUAUUAUAAAAUUUAUAGUUAGAAAUAAAACAAUUUAUAAUUAAAUGCUAAUUAAAUAAAUAUAUUUUCUAAAAUAUAUGUGAAUGUUUUUAGGGAAAUUGUCACAAAUAGCACAUUCAUAGUACCACUUUUCAUGUUUACACUAACCACUUUUACCAUCACUUUUGAAUGAAGGGUAAAAGACAAUUUUUCCCUUAGGGUUAACUAAUCUAGACUUAGAGCAUCUCCAACUCCACUCCAUAUUUUACUCCAAAAUAUAAAAAAUGGAAUGGGAAACGGAGUGAUGAACAAAAAAUAAAAGCAUUACUCUAUAAAUGGAGUAAUCCUUUUAUUUUUUUUGUUCAUUACUCCAUUUUCCACUCCAUUUUCUCAAUUUUGGAGUAAAAUAUGGAGUGGGGUUGGAGAUGCUCUUAGGGUUUAGAGUUGAGGGGUGGGGUAGGGUUUUUGGAGUGUGAAAUUUAGGAUUCUAAUAAAUAUAUAAAUAAAUACUUAAAAAAUAUAUAAAAAAUUUUAAAAAAUAGUUUCAAAAUAAUUUUUCGUUUUUCAAAAAGAAAUUUGAAAAAAAAUAAAAAAAAAUUAGAAAAUAAAAAUUUCAAAAAAGAAAAAUUUAUAAAAAAGCUCGAAUUUGAAAAAGUAUAAUUCGUAAACAAAUUUAUUUUUAUUUAAAUAAUUAUUUAUUAUAUAUAUAAAUAACAAGGGCAUAAGAGUUUUUUGCCACUUAAUGAAGAAUGUAUUUUUGAAAAUGUCUCUUUAGUGGUGGUAAAAAUGAAAAGUGCUACCAUGAAAGUGGUAAACAUGUAAUUUUUCCAUGUUUUUAAAAUUUAACACAACAAUAAGCAUAUUUAUAUUUUUCAUAAAAACUAAUGAAUAUAUAUUAAUAAUAUUUUAUUUAUAUGUUAUAUUUGAUAAUUGAUUAUAAGUAAAUAUAAUAAAAUUUUCAUAAAUAAAAUAUAUUUUUAAAACAUAAGAUAAUUUUUAAAUAUUUUGUUUUUUUACCUGAAAUAAUAUUUUUUACUAUAAAAUGUAAAGUUUAAUGUUUGAUUUAUCUUUUUAAAAACACAAUUAAUAAUUUAUUAUGUUGGUUUUGAUUUAAUAGUUAUAAACAGACAAAUAUCUAUAAGAACACUAUGCCCACAUGUGCGGGUAGAACACCUAGUAUUAUAUUAUUAUUAUGCGAUUAAUUGGUGUAUAUGAGAUACGUAUAGUAAAUGUGGAUGUAUUUUAGAUGUCAUAUGAGAAAAUCACAUCAAAAUAUUUUAAGUGGUUAUAAAAAUUAAUAUGAAUUGAACUGUGAAUAAGAAAAAAAACAAAUACAAUGUUUUAUUUAUAUUUAUAUUUAUAUAAAUAAUAUAUAUAUAUAUAUAUAUUAAUUAUGUUAAAAUUAGACAAUAUAUUUGCAUAAAGUUUUUUAAAAAAUUACUUUAUUUCCAGAUAACAAUACAAUAUAAAGAGUUAUCUUAUUUUUUUAAUAUGUUUUUAUGCGAAAAAUUUAUCAUAUUAAUUUAUAAUCAAUUAUCUAAUAUAACUUAUAAAUAUAAUAUGGUUAAUAUAAAUUAUUUUUAUCAUAUUAAUUUAUAAUCAAGUGUAUUAUUUGCACUUGUCUAAUUCGGAACUUGUGAAAUUUAUUAAUUUAUCGAGUAUUAAUUUAUUAAGUUAAAUUAGUUCAUUGGAAAAGAAAUUAGAUUUAUCCUUUUGCCACCACCACAUAUGGCUACAGUCCCCUCAUAUUUCUCAAUUACCUGAACAUGCCAAGACUCUGGAUCAUUAUCAUCAACAAAAGAAGCUUCUGAUAGUCCCAUGAUAUUUGGAAUUCUGUCAAUCUUAAGCAAAGCAUCCUCAGAAGACGAUCUGUGUAUCGAAAUCCUGUGCCUUUUCUCUGAAGCCUUUAGCCAACGUUGUUCAAAAUUAGCAAGCACGUCAUACGCUGCUGGACCGUCAAUCAUGCUGUGCAGAUCAUGCCACGGUUGUCUUGGUCCAUCAUCCUCAGUAGUCUAAUACGGAAAAAGAAGUUUCUUUACACUGAUCAAAAAUAGUAGCAAAACUGAACCAAACAAGAAUUGUCUUGAAUGGUUACCCCAAAACAAUUGUUAUAGAAAUCAUCUUUAUGAAGAGUCUUUAAUGUCGUAAAGAGAGGAUGCUUAGGCGUAUCAAAACGUCCUUUGCACACGUCUAUCCCUCCAACAAACGCUACGAUCUUUCUUCGACCCUGAGCUGCCUCAGCAUCUACAAUCACAGUUUUCUGAUGAUGUGUGUAGAUAGUUUGAACUUCCUGAUCAUCACAAUGAGGUUCAGAGGAUUAAACUAUACAUACAAGAGUUUAAGCAGUGAUGCAGUAAUUAUUGAGCAUCUUACAGUUUUUUUUACAAAGCUAUGAAGACCUCUUCCCCCAGAUCUAGGACAAAUAAUAACUUGCACCGACGAGUUCCUAAAAUAAUGGCGAGUCUCCUCAUCGCUUGUCUUCAUAUAUCCGCGCUGCAUACCACAAGCAAUUCGUGAAAACAACAAAAGGUUUGUGUAACAGACAUCAUGUGAGAUUGGUCUAGUGUUGUAACUUGUAGAAGACGUUAAUAUUAUAUAACCCUUUUCAUCUAUCCAGUUUCAAUCUACUAUUAUUAUAGUUUACAAGAGAUAUGAUUAAGAAAAGAUAGACUGUUAAGAGAAAAACAAUACAUAGUUAGGCACCACUUACUGUUCUGUACCCCAGAAAGCUCCAUGAAAUUGGAUCAUCCCACACCAAUAGCAACACUCUAACACCUUCUUGAGAUCUUUCUUUAAGCAAAUCCCCUAAUGUACCAUCGGUCGGAUCAUUAUUGCGACGAACCAGCCUAACCGGAUGGUAAACUGACCAACCUGUGAUAUAAAUCAAGUUCUUUGCCUGUCUAAUCGCAUCAGCCAUAUCCUCCCAGCACUUUCCAUGUAUAUACUUCAUCCCACCAUCGAGAUCUACACUCGGAAGUGUCCCGUCUUCAACAUGGGCAUCUUGAUACAGAGUAACUCUACCGCCUUUCCUCAAAGGGAAGUAUGUACCGGGAACUCCUUCGCACUCAUUACCAACACCCAUUUGGUAAAAUUUCAUCAUUUCCACUGGAGUGUAUUGAAUAGCCAAACUCAACACAGCACCCUUUUUACAUGGCUUCCCACUACUAUCAAGUAUCGGAAACAGCCCUUCGAUCGUGUUUCCUGAACAUAACUCCUCGGUUGGGAUUCCAACAUCUCCUAUGAACUUUGCUCCAAAACGGUCACUGUCUUUCACCACAAACUUUACCACCUUAGCAUGGUGAGCCACCGGUACAUAGAAAUGCUGCUUCCACACAGGAUUCUCAUCGUUGUCGACCACAAAAGUUGUGCCAAUCUUUGCACCUGCGAUAGAGACAGUCACGAAGGGAUCACUUGUACUGUUCUUCUUGUACCUCCGAAAACGAUCCAUGUUAGGAAGAUUUUUAGCUUCCUUCACCCAAACGUCUAAGUUACCAUGUAACAACACUAAUCUCAAAGAACCGUUACUUGACCCUUCCAUUGACAUGAGUCUCGGUAUAAACCGAAUGAUGCGUCAAGAAAAAGCGGAAAAAGUACUAAAUAAGAAAAAGGAUCAAAUGUCGAGCCCAACCCACAAAAGAAAAAAAUCUUUCAGCAAGACCUUUGAGAUACAGUUUCAGAACAAUCUUGAGUUCUAAGUAGACGAAUCAAGCAGUGCGCUCGUAAUAUAAGGUUUGUGUUAUCAGCCGUACAUUGUUGACCGUUCAAAUUUUAGCCAUUGACACACUUCAACCGUGGUCCAGGCUUUCAAUAAAACCUUCCUUAAAUCGUAUGGGGACAAGACAGUGAAUGCAAAUUAUCAGUAGAAACAAACUUUCGAGACUUAGAAAUACGUUGACUUGGCCGGAUAUUUGGAGUUGACCUCAAGGUCAAGAAAAUAAUCUAUACUAUUAAUUGCUAAUUGAUUUUUUUGCAAAGAAACUCUCAAUUUAAAAGUUAGAAUUAUUAAUGAAUUAUUAUAUUUAUUUAAUUUUAUAUAAUUGAUCAUAAAAUUAACUACGAUAAAAAAAUUUUUUAAAAAAAGAUGCAGCAUCAAUGGUAACUAAAUCGAACAUUAAAUUAAUACAUGCAUUAAAUUCAAAUCAAAAGAUAUUAAGACAACUUAUCUGCAUAUUUAAAAAAGAGAAAAACAAUGUAUAGGAUAAUUUUGGUCAGUUUAGGCGUUUGUUUGGUUUUCAUCAUUAAUUAUAUAAUUUAUCAUACGAAUAUAAUUAAAACCACUCAAAAAACGUUUUUAGUAAUUAUUUUGUUUGCAAAUAUUUUGAUAAUAGUUUGCACACAUGCAUUAAUCAAAUCCCUUCGUUUCUUUACAAAAAAAAUAAUUUCUUAAACUUCAUACUUUUGUAAAGCUUAUACAUACAAAAAAUCUAUACUAUUAUUUACGAAAUAAUUUUCGCAACGAAUCUCUCACGUUAAAAGUUAGAAUGGUUAAAGUCGAUGCUACCUUUAAUGAAUUAUUAUAUUUAUUUAAUUUUAUAUAAUUUAUCAUAAAAUUAACUACAAUAAAACAAAUUUCCAAAAAAAAAAGAUGCAGCAUCAAUGGUAACUAAAUCGAACAUUAAAUUAAUCCCUCUAUAUAUUAAUUGAGAAGUCACUUAAGUGAUUUCUGCUGAUGUGUCGCUCAUAGGAGAGUUCUCCAAUUAAUUGUUAUAAUUUGAUUGGUUAAUAGUUUUUAAUUUUUUUUUAUUUAAUUAAAGUUUUUAAAGAAAAACUAACCUUAGAAUUACCUAAUCUAAUAUAUGUUUCCAAAUAUACAAUUAAACAUCUUAAAUAUAGAUGAAUUAAUAUAAUUUAUUUAUAGACACAAUUAAAUAUCAUAGAUUAUAAUAUAUAAAUUGAUGAUGUACAUUUAAAUACAUAUGAUAUUACAGAAACAAUUAUAAAAACGGAUUUAAAUUUAUAUUAGUAGUGAAUACAAUAAAUCAUAGAUUCUAAAAAAACUAAUUAAUGUAAACCUAAUAAUAUUAAUUCUAAAAUGUUUCAAAUGAAAUCAAAACAGUCAAAUAUAUAAUUUUAAAAAAUUCUCAUCAUUUUCCAAUGACAAUGUGAUAUCAUAGAUAAGUUAUCACUUUUAGAAAUGAUUAAAAUAUUUUUAUAUUUUAAAACAUAAAAAUUAUAUGGUAAGUCAUUUAAAAUUAUAUUAAUCAAGAAAUUUUAUUUAAUUCAUCUACUAAUAUAAACAGAUGAAUUAAAAUUAUUAUAUGGCAAGUCACAUAAAAUUAUAUUAUAUGGUAAUUCAUCUAAAUUUAUUAUAUAGUAACUCAUUUACAUUAUAUUAAUCAAAGUAUUUUUCACAUGCUUUUCCUAGAGUAAAUACUCUAUUAAUAUAAUUCAUAUAGCUUGGAUUAUAAUAAAAUUAGCAAGAUUGUUUUGAAUAGUAAAAAAAAUAAAGGAGACAUAAAUAAAAAAAACAUGAGGGAAGAAUAAUAAAAUAUGUUUGUUGUGUUCUUGGUUCUUUAUAUUCUUAUGUAUUUAAUUUUAAUUAUUUUUCGAGAUGCAUGUAUUUUUUGUGUUACUAUAAAUGUGAACUAAUUAAUUUUAUGUGUUUUUAAAACAUUUUGAUAAAUUGAGUUAGAAAGAUCAAUAAAAAUGACAUGUUUUUCAAUUGUUAAAGUCAAAGAUAGAAAAUAUAAUGUAAUUUGCAAGUAGGAUAAAUUAUUUAAAAAUACGAGAUGUAUAUUUUGCGGUAUAAUAAACUUUUAAAAUGUACAAUAAUAAAAUUUUAACAAAUUUUAUACAAAUAAAAAUAUUUUAUUUUGAUAUAAUAUCUGAUCUCACAUUAAUAUUAAGUAUAUAUGCCUAAAAUGACAACCUUUCUUCAUUUAAAAAUUAAAAUUUAUGUUUUCUUAUUAAUUAAGUAGAUUAAAUUAAAAUAGGUAUGUUUUAAAGGAAGAAAUGGUUUGAUCAAACCAUUUAAGUUUAUGUUAAACACUAAAUAAAAAAUGAGUGAAAAAGUGUGAAUUGUGAUUUGAAAAAAUUAUAAGAGAAAUUACUUAGACUACCAUUUUCAUAAUACAAGUUUUCAUGUUUAUAUUAACCAAAUUUAUCCUAGGUUUUAAAGAGGUAAAUCAUACUAAAUAUUAAUUGAGAAGUCACUUGAGUGAUUUUUCUUAUGUAUUGUUAAAAGGUUAAGUUUUAAAAAAUAGUUAUAAUUUGAUUGGUUGUUGACAUUUAUUAGUUAUUUAUUUUAAUCAGAUCUAAAAAUAAAAGGUAACUAUAGAACUAAUUAAUAUAAAUUACCAAAUAACACAAGUAAUAUUACAAAUAAUGAUUUAUGGUAACUAACUGUAGAAUUGGAGAAAUAAUAUAUAUGUUUUAUCAACUUCUUUUUUCUUUAUCAAUUAUUUAUAUAUAAUUAAAUAAAAUAGUUUAACUUUUUUUAUUGAAAGAAAUUUAAUAGUUAUAUAUUCUUAUAUAAAAAAUAGAUUUGUAGGUAAAGAAUUGUUAGAACUUUUUAUGUUUUCUACAGUCCACACAGAAACGUUUACAAAAUAUAUUCAUAAUAAAAGCAUCCGAUCAUUGUAUUGGUCCUACACACAAAAAAACUCUUUUUUUUUAUUUCUUGAAGACUAGAGUAUCCAGGUUUUAUUAGGUGUUAAAAUAAAAUAUAAAGUAAUUCUACAACCAAUUAUCUGAAUUAGUUAUAAUAUUACUUUUCUGUAAGAGAAAUAUUAGUAAUGAUUAAGGUUAACAUUGUUGAAUUUUUUUAAAUAUCACAGAUCUUCUAAUAAUACAUAUGUUCGUUAAACGAACGCUGCCACACCGACUACAGAUCAAAAUUUAGAAGGAAAAAAGAGUAUUCAAAAAGAAAGAGAGAAGAACAGAUGACACGCGUCUCUGUUUUCAGUCGCAGAGAAGAGAGAGAAAUGAAGAACAAUGGUCGCUACUUUUUUGACGUCAGCGGUAACACCGGAAAGCUUCGCUUUUUUUGACGCUGCGUCUCUUGUUUUCAUUUCAUUUAAUCAAUGAUGAAGAAACCUAUGAACAAAUCUCAGACGCUAAUGUCGAACGCGGCGUUCGUUAAACGAACAGGGGUAUUAUAUAUUGAAAUUUUUGAUUAUCCAAGUAUUUAAAAUUAAAAAUUAAAAUUUUAAUUAUUAUUCAAAAAUUAUAACAAUGUAAAUAUAAUAUUUAUUUCUUCGUAUAAUUAAAAACUCGCAAAAUUGCGGGCAAAUAUGUAGUUCUUUUGUAUAUGUACUUUGGUUUGAUCGAUCAAAAGAUCCAGUUUGGUUCAGAUAGUAAGAUGCUCUGGUUGUUUGGUUUAGAAUUGUUCUCAUCGAAAUAGACUUAACUUCAAAUUUGACUUGGUUCGGCUCAAUAAUAUUCAAUCUGGGUUGGUUUCGUUUAAAAAACUUAAUGAAAUAUUUUUUUUUAAUAUCAGGUUUUGGGUCAAAAUAUAUAAUCCUCUUAGAUUCAAAAUUACAGAAUACUUUCUCUUUCCCUCUGUUUCUCAAAAAGUGCCAUUUUAGUUUUUUCUUUUUAGAUAAAAAGUAUCGUUUUAGAUUUUUAAUGCAGUUUUUACGUAUUUUCAUCUGAAUAUUAAUUGUAAAUUGCAUUGAUCUUAUAAAUAAAUUUAUUUAUUUCUAAUAUCAUUGGUCAAUUAGACAUAAUUAAUAUAAACAUAAAUAUAUUUCAAUCAUUUUCUUAAUAUGUGUGAAGUGUCUAAGUGAUAUUUAUAAUGAAACGGAUAGAGUAUAAUAUUAGUUUCGUUUCAAACGUUGCUAUUGAAUGGUCUUUUAUUUUUUUAUUUUUUUUUAUCGACUUGCUAUUGAAUGGCCUCUAAGCUUUGCUUAUGGUGUUUUUCCAGCUGAAUCAACGACACUUGUGUAGGAUAUUAUUUAUUUUUAGAGAUUUUUGGAUGUCUGAUAAAGAUAUUUUCAAAAUAGUAAAAUUUCCAUAUAUUUCAUAUAAUAUCAUAGAUAACAGUAUUACAUAUUUAUAUAUCAUUAAAUUUGUAUGACAAUCGGUUGACAUAAAAAAAAAAAAUUUGUAUGACAAUCUCGAAGAACUUUCAACUCACAACUAGUCCACCACCUAAAUAACAGUCAUAAGAGAUAUAUUUUUAUAUAUAUACAGUUUAAAUCAUGUUUCAGACAUUAGAGCAUCUCCAAAAAGGAACUCUAUUUUGAAGUUUCCAAAACUCUAUAUUUGAAGUUUAAAGGUGUUCUUCUCCAAAAACAAAAUUUUAAACUCAACUUCAAAACUAUUUAUAUUUUAUAAUAUGGUCCUUAUAUUUGUCAUAACUAAUUUAAAUUCAUAUAACUUUUGUAAAUAACUAGCACAUAUAUAAACAUAUUACAACAAUAUUAAUUAAUAAAAUAUUCUAUUAAAUAUAAAAAUUAAAUAAAAUAACUUAAUUAAUAUUAAACUUCAAACAAAAUAUCAUAUUAUUUCAUAAAAUGAUUUUCGUAAUGCAUAUAUGAUCUAUUAGUGCAUUUCGAAGUAAAAAAGACUCUCCUUAUUUUUAAUUUGUAGAUUAAGAGGUAAAAGUUGUUGAAAUCAGGUAAUAUUGAUACUUGUAAAUACAUUAUAUUGGAACAAGAAAGUAAAAUAAAAACAUAAAGUAUUGCUAAAAAACUAAUUUCUUUCGAUGAUAUUAAUACUUGUGAAUAUAUUCGAUACGAACAAGAAAGAAUUGUACGAAAAAACAUCAAAAACAACAACAACAACCACUACAAGAAAACACAAGUUUUACGAGGGCAGUUUUCCUCGCUAGUUCGUCGUAAAAGCAGUGUUACGACGAAUUAGCGAGGAAACCCGUUUCGUCGUUAUAUGUUUGUCGUAACGCAUAUAUCCUCGCUAAAUCGUCGUAAGUUAGCGAGGAAAUAAUUUCGUCGUAAAAGCGAAGGAAGAUAUUUCGUCGUAAAGACCACGUAAAGAUUCCUCGUAAGGACGUCGCUAAUUUUCCUCGUAAAGACCACGUAAAGAUUCCUCGUAAGGACGUCGCUAACAUUCCUCGUAAUUACCACGAAAAUCUUUCCUCGUAAGACACACGUAAAUAAAUACUCGUAAAAUUGACGUAAAUACCUUGAAAGCUUUCCACGUAAAGAAAACGUAAAAACCUUGAUAGAUUUCCAAAUGUUUCCUCGUAAAAACCACGUUAAGCUUCCACGUAAAGAAGCCGCAAAAUUAGCUACGAAUUUACUUCGUUUCAUUAUUUUAUAGAAAUAUAAAAAAUUAUAAUUAUAAAUAUAAUUUAAAUUAUUUAAAUUAUUAAUGAAAUUAAAAUUCUAAAAAAAUCAAAACCAAAAUAUUUUAUAUAUAAAUAAGUUUUGAAUUUCAUAAUACAAGAACCAAAAUUAAAAAGAACUUGGGUGGUCGUUAAUUAAUCGCCUCGUAGAAUUCAUCACUCCUCGCCUGAACAUCCGCCUCGGCAUGUGAGUCGUCGGUCGGUGACUGGCCUGGGAUAGGAUUUUCUUGUCGCAUGGUCCUCAACAAAGUCGCCCAUUCCGGAUUUGUGGCCGCUACAACGUCCAAGAAGCCCUCGAGUCCACCCAUACGAGAUCGCAGCUGAGUAGAAUCUCUACGCAGCUGAGUAGACUCUCUACGCAGCUCUUCGGACUCCCUACGCAGCUGAGCGACUUCAUCAUCCCGUCGCUGAACAUAAGACGAUGUCGCUAUCGGAACAUCGUUGACGGAACCAAUCCCCAACGUCCGUCCCUUUUUUUUAGGGACAACCUUAAAAACAAAAAAUAAAUUUUGUUAGUAAAAAUUUAAAGUUAAAUUAAAUGAAUAUUUAAAAAAAUUAAAAUUUUAGAAAAUUUACCUCCUCGUAAAGCUUAUCCACUUCAGGUGUGGAUAAGGUGACGGGUAAUCCAUCGGUGGACUGUUGGGUCAGCUGGGUCUGGCGUUCUUCAACCCGAGCAGCCAAAUCGUUGUAGAUUUGUUCGGACUUGCCAUCUAUAAAUCGGCCCGCCUUGUUCUUGUGGGUCCUCUCGUAAAGUUGCAUAAGAGACGGGAAUUCUCCCGUCUCUUUGGCCUAAAAAAACAUUUAAGAAAGUUGUUAAUUAGAAUAUAUAUAUAAAAAUAUACUAAAAAUUUAAUAUAAUUAAAUUUUUAAUUACCAUUUCCAAACGGACACCAGCGUGGGGUUUUUGGCCCGUAGUGUGAAGCAUCGGCCCGUUCCCGUGCUCAUCGACUGUGUUACGGGAGUUAGAGCAAGACUGGGCGAUUCUAAUGGAAUCAGGAAGACGCCAAUAUCGGAUGAGGCCAUCCCAGACAUCCGUGGUGAGCUCAGCGGGUUUGCCACGCUCAUACCCCUUCACGAUCCAGUCACCCUUCCAGUUGGAGACCGUGUCCAACAAGCGAACUUUCGCCUUCGCUUCAAACUUCUUCCUCACCCUCUCAGUGAUCCCGAAGGCCCAAUUAUAUUUUUGCUGUUGGAAAAAAUAAUUUAUAAUUAGUUUUUCAGAAAAAAAUAUAUAUAUAAAUAAUUAAAAAAUUUAAAGAUAUAUAUUUAAUUAAUAGAACUUACAGCGUAAAUUUUGAACCACGUCUUUCUGACGUAGUGGGGCGUCAUUUUCCAGUUCGGAUGUGCCAUGGAGAAGUAACCUUUUAUCGUGUCGGUUACGUCCGAUGCAAGACAUCCGUCAAUCCCCCACCUGAAAAAUACAAAUUUAAAAUAUAAAUUAUUUUUUAAAGUUAUAAAAUAAUUUAAAAAGAAUAAAAAAAUAAUGAAACAUACCAUAAAGUUCCGUCCGGUCGGUCGGGGUCGAUGACUGGUAAACCUUCUCUGCCUGGCAGACGGAGAAUGUCCUCUACGGUGUACUGCGAGUAAGGAGCACUCGGAGGCACCAUCAAAUCGGGAUGAAUCUCGGCCGCGGGCAUCGGAGGUGCCGGCAUCGUAGGAGGCACAGGAGGAGGAGGCAUCUGGGGAGGCACGUGAAGAACCGAUGGUGCACUAGAAGAAGGAGAUCCAAUGACUCUCUGAGUGUACUGAGUCUCGGGGACAGUCUCCUGACCCAAAGAACCGGGAGCUGAAGAAGACGACGGGUCUAAACGACUACCCGGCUCUCCGAACAUCUCUCUGUAAUGGGCAGUAAGUCUACCUUUUCGAACCUGAGAAAAAAAUUUAAUUUUUAAAAUUUUCGUAAACAUAUCUAAAUUCCCUAUACUAAAUAACAUAAGAUCCGUAAACCUAUCUAAAUUCCCUAUACUAACCACCUAAUCUAUCCUAAACUAAUCAAACUAGAGAGGAAUUAGGGAGACUUACCAUUGCUACGAAUUAGGGAGGAAGUGGAGAGGAAGUGGAGAGGAAAGACGGAGCGAGCUCGCUCGGGAUAUAUAUAAGAUUACUUGUCCUCGUAAUUUCCUCGUAAACUUACGAGGAAUUACAGAGGCCCGCGUUUUCAGUUACGACGAAAUAGCGACGAAAUACAAAGGCCCGCGUUUUCGUUAACGACGUUUUUACGACGAAUUAGGUUACGUGGAAUUAACGAGUUAACCAGUUACGAGGAAUUAGCGAGCCUAUAUUUUCUAUAAAUACCCACAACUUUCCUUCUCAAACCACACACAAACUCACAAAACACACCCUAUCUCAAAUCACACUCCUCACCAAAAUACUUUUCAAAUUAGAAAUAUUUGAAAAAAAAAAGAAGAAAAGAAGAUAUUAGAAUUUAUGUGGAUGAGACUUAAGUCUCGCCACAUAUAAUUCCAGUAUCUUUCUUUUUUUCUUUUUUACUAGUUUUUAUACUAUGAGGAAGUAGCUAGUCCCGCUUUUCACCAAAUUAGAAAUAUUUGGAAAAAAAGAAAGAGAAGAAGAUAUUAGAAUUUAUGUGGGCGAGACUUAAAUAUUAUAAUUGCUGGAAGUCUUGCUACAUGUAAAUCUGGUGUCUCUCUUCUUUUCCUUUUUUUUCUAGUUUUUAUUCUACGAGGUUUUUACGACGAUUUUUGUUACGAGGUGUUUACGACGAAAUCAUCCUACGUGGAAUUAAAGAGUGCCUCCUUCGUCAUUUACUUUACGUGGUAUUUACGUCUAUUUACCUUACGAGGUCUUUACGACGAUUCCGUCCUACGUGGAAUUAACGGGUUUCGCUUUCUUUAUUUUUUUUAGUUUCGUCGUUAUUUCCACGUAAGAUAACGAGGUCUUUACGACGAUUCUGUCCUACGUGGAAUAAACGAGGAUUACGUCGUACAUUCGACGUCAACUUACGAGGAAUUAACGAGUAUUACGUUUAAUCCCUAAAAUCCGAAACCCCAAACCCCAAAACCCCAUAUUCCUUAUCUUCUACUUCAUAUAUUCCAAACCCCAUCUUUAUUUUCAUUCCAAACCACAAUUCCCACAUUUACUUAUUUAUAAAACAAACUCCCACAAUUUCUUAUUCAUAAAACAAACUCCCACAUUACCUUAUUCAUAAAACAAACUCUCACAUUACCUUAUUCAUAAAACAAACUACACAAAAUCAAAUACAUCAAUCGGAUACAUCGACAUUCUCGUCAUCACUAGAAAUAUCAUCAUUUUCAUUAAACUCGUCUUCUACAGCUUCGUCUGUGGCAUCAUCGGUAAGAUCUUCGUAUUCGUGAUUAUGCGGAUCAAUGAGAAGGAUGUCAUCAACUUCUUGUUCAGGUUCCUCGACUUCAUUUAUCUGUUCUUCUUGCAAUGGUGGUUCUUCUCCACUGAUGAUUCGUCCUCGAGGUGUAACUUUGAUCACUGCUAACCAAUUUAUACCCGAAUCUCUCAUCCGAGGGUAUGGAAGGAAGCUAACUUGGUCUGCUUGUGAAGCUAAGAUGAAAGGCUCGAAUUUGUUGUACCGACGUCCACCGUUGACAUCAACUACACCAAAUUUGUUAGACCGAACACCUCUGUUGACGACGGGGUCGAACCAUUCACAUUUGAAGAUGACGCAUUUCAGCUUCAGUAUCCCUGGAAAUUCGACUUCAAUAAUCUCCGUCAAGAUCCCGUAGAAAUCUGUUUCCCCUUUCACACAUAUUCCAUAGUUACUGGUCGCCCGCUGUCUACCAUACUCAUAUGUGUGAAAAGUGUAGCCUCGUGUGAAAUACAUCUGUGAUGUGGUGACCUUUACAAGUGGAGAUUGAAUUACUUCGUGUAACCACUUAGGAUAAUCUGCAUCGUCGUCAUAAUCAACCUGCAAAAAUAAAGAGAACAUUAAAAUACAAAUCAUGUAUGAAAAAAUAGUUUGAGUUAUAAUACCUGAUUCCGCAACCACUUAAUGAAGUGCUGAUCUUUCCUUUUGUCUACGUCACUUGUGGAUAUACCAGGAAAUGUUUCUUCGACUUGAGAAACAAAUAGGCUGUAAAAUUAAUCACAUUUCAUAGGAAUGAAUCUCUUGCAAUUAUAUAAUUAAUUAUAUGUGUUUUGAAGUGUCCAUAUAUGUUACCUUUCAAAAUAACGCAUCAAUGGAUCCUCGCAAUUGAGUAGAAUAUAGGUGUGUGCACUAUGAGCGUCUUGUUCACUCGACCACCAAACCUCUUUAGACUUCCCACCGAGUCGUCCAAUCUGGCUAAAGAUGUCUGGAACACCAGCAACUGCAUAUGUUGGCGCAACUCCACCAUCAUCAUAUCUUCUUGGAGCUCUUCUACGGGUACGUACUUUUGACGCAAAGUAGUACGAUGUGAAGUGAGAAACUUCUUCCGUCAAACUUCCAGCAAUUAUAGAACCUUCAACUUUGGCGAGGUUCUUUGCUUUUCCCUUCAAAUAUUUCAUGGCUCGCUCAUACUGAUACAUCCAUCCGUAAUGUACAGGUCCACGAAGCAAUGCUUCAUAUGGGAGGUGGACAGCUAGAUGCUCCAUGACGUCAAAAAAUCCAGGAGGAAAUAUCUUCUCCAAGUUGCACAAUAAGAUGGGAAUGUUCUCCUGAAGCUGUUCUACAACUUCUUCUUUAAGAGUGCGUGUGCUCAGAUCCCUGAAAAAUGCUCCAAUGCCUUUUAUAUUCCAAAAACAAUUAAACACAUUGUUAGUCGUAUAUUAUUUUGCAAACUAGACCGUUAUAAAAUUAUUGUGAUAUAAAACACUACGAACCUGCAAGUGCUUCAUGUACGUUUGUUGGAAGUAGCUCCGCAAAUGCAAAGGGCAGUAGUCGUUGCAUAAAGACAUGACAAUCAUGACUCUUCAUCCCAGAGAACUUUUGACCCUUUUCAACACAUCUAGAGAGAUUUGAAACAUACCCAUCGGGGAACUUCACUUCUGAUGCCACCCAGUUGAACAACACCGACUUUUUUUCUGAAGACAGUCUGAAUAUCGGAACGGGAACUUGUCCAUUGCUUUUAAUAUGUAACUCGCUUCUUGAGCAAAUAUCCGGCAAGUCCAACCUCGAUUUUAUGUUGUCUUUUGUCUUCCCUGGGACAUUCAAUAUUGUAUUCAUGAUGUUCUCAAAGAAAUUCUUCUCUAUAUGCAUCACAUCGAGGUUGUGGCGCAGAAGAAGAUCCUUCCAAUAUGGCAACUCCCAAAAUAUACUCUUCUUGUGCCAGUUGUGAUGAACACCGUAAGAAUCAGGCAUAUUACGAGGGACAUGCCAAUUACCACCCCAACGAACUGUUUCGUUAGCUCCGUAGUAGUCGAUUUGUGCUUCAAUUUGUUCUCCAGUUAGAUAUGGUGGAGAAGUGUCUCUCACAACCCUUUUGUGCCUAAACAAAUUCUUGUUUCUUCGGUAAGGAUGGCCAAUGGGAAGAAAUCGACGAUGACAAUCAAACCAACUUGUCUUCCUACCAUUCUUCAGUUGAAACGCAUCUGUCGUUCCAUUACAAUAUGGACAAGCUAAUCUCCCAUGUGUAGUCCAUCCAGACAACAUCCCAUAUGCAGGAAAGUCACUUAUGGUCCACAAAAGCAUAGCUCGCAUCGUAAAAUUCGUCUUCGUUGAACAGUCAUACGUCCUCACCCCUGUUGACCACAAAUCCUUCAACUCUUUUAUCAGUGGUUGUAGGAAAACAUCCAGGGACCUUUUUGGAUGGUUCGGACCAGGUAUCAAUAUCGUCAAGAAUAGCAACUCCCGUUGCAUGCACAUCUCCGGUGGCAGGUUGUAUGGCGUAAGAAAGACUGGCCACAAUGAAUAUUGUCUCCCUGACAUUCCGAACGGACUAAAUCCAUCUGUGCAUAAUCCGAGAUACACAUUCCGGCUAUUGCUAGCAAAAUCCGGAUGUACUUUGUUGAAAUGUUUCCAGGCUCUUGCAUCUGAUGGAUGAGUCAUCUCACCAUCCGUCUGAGUAUGCUCGGCAUGCCAUCUCAUCUUUGCAGCAGUCUGCUCUGAUUGAUACAAUCUUUUCAAUCUGUCUGUAAUUGGUAGGUACCACAUCCUUUGGUACGGUACCCUAUUACGUCCCCGUCCUUGCGGCUUGAAUCGUGGCUUCUUGCAGAAUCGACAUACUUCUAGCUUCUCAUCAUCUCCCCAAUAGAUCAUGCAGUUGUCGAUGCAGACAUCUAUCAUCUCCGAAGGCAACCCAAGACUAUAAACUAAUUUCUGAAUCUCAUAAUAAGAAUCAGCAGACACAUUGUCUUCCGGCAAAUACUCUUUAAACAAGUCCGCCCAUUCGUUCAUGCAACUUUCAGGUAGAUUGUGAUCAGUUUUAAUAUUCAUCAUUCUAGCAGCCAACGACAAUUUAGAGAGACCUUCUCUACAACCACUGUAAAGUGGUUGAUUCGCCGCGUUUAACAUUCCGUAAAACUUUUUUGCAUCUAUAUUAGGUUCUUCAUCUUCAUCAUGAGCUACGAAUGCAUCAGCUACCAUAUCAUGAACCCUAUCAUAAUCUACCAUCUCCUCCUGAUGGUAACUAUGUUCAUUAUGCAAAUGAUGAUUAACCGGUUCUUCCUGAAAAUUGCUAUUACUACUACUAGCUUCAUUCUGAUCAUAAUUAUAACCUUCCCCAUGUUGAAACCAGAUAUAGUAAUUUGGCGUGAAACCUCUAUUUAUUAAAUGCUUCCAAACAUUUUCACGGUUUGCCAAUUUCGAAUUGUUGCAUUUCCGACAAGGACAGAACAUCUUACCACUUUCUUGGGCGAGCGGUGUUGAAUCUGCUUGGUGCAUAAAUGUCUCCAGCCCCGCAAGGUAUUCUUUCGUCACUCUCCCGUUAGCAUCUCUAUGCAUAUACAUCCAAUUCCGCAACUCGUAAAUAGUCCCAGAGCCAGCCAUUUUUUUUUCUUUCACGUUUUUUGUUGUUGGUGUGUUUAAAAUGAUGUUCCAACAUCCAUAUUUAUAGAAAAUUUCGAAUCUGGUAGUUGUAAUUUUACUAUGAAAUUACGACGAAAAUUAAUUGUAUGGCCAAAAAAAAAACGUGAGCCACCUACCAAGUUGGUGGAUUCAAAAUUUCCUCGUUAAGUACACGUAAAAUAUUUCGUCGUAAAGCACUCGCGAAAUUUACGUGGCUUUUACGAGGAAAAACUAUUUCCUCGUAAAAGCCACGUCAAUUUACAUCGUCUUUACGACGAAUUUUUUUUGUCGUUACCUUACGACGAAAUAACGAUGCUUUUCUUUCGCAACGUAAUUUCCUCGCAAAAUCAACGUUUUUUUACGAGGAUUAUUUUUCCUCGUUAAACUUCCUCGGUAAAGAUACGUUUUCUUGUAGUGAACCAUCUUUAGUUACAAAAAAAAUUUGGACAAUAUUUGAAAAUUUAAAUGUUCCGGAUCAAACUUACAUGACUAUUAAUAUUGUUGUAAUAUUUAAAUUUGUGUAAUAGAGUUAUGUCUUCAUGUAAUUUUUUAAAAUCUUUUUGUUAAGUUUUUUUUGUAUAUUAUUGUUGUCUAAAUUUAGCUUUAAAUAUUUUAAAUUUUAUUUUAAAGUUUUAUUUAAUUUUAUAUGUAAAAUUGAAAAUAUUUAUGAGAUAUAAUCUUUAUAAGGAUUAAAACAAUAAACAAAAAACAUUUAUGAAUCAUAAAGGUGAUGUGUGAUUAUAGGGACCAAUAUGCAAAUAAAAAUAUGAAACUUCAAAUUUGAAGUUUUGAGUAGUGAAACUUCAAAUAUAGAGUUUCACUCCUCAAAACUUCAAAUUUGAAGUUUUGAAGUUUCUUUUUGGAGAGCAAAAAACUUCAUAUUUGAAGUUAUAGAGUGUCUUUUGGAGAUGCUCUUAGUGCAAAACUGUUAGGUGAAAGAAUAUCAGAAAGUUUGUUCCAAUUCAAUCUUUUCAUGUGUUUCAGAUCACCUUUUAGACUAGUUGCUUGAAAGACUGAAUGACCUGAUAUAUUUAAUUUUUGCAGAAUUAAUGAAACCAUUAAUAAUGUGAAGAAGCAUAGUUUAAUCAAAAGUAGAAUCUAUAAAAAAAAAUUUAUUUGAGAGUCUUUUGUUGUUUUGUAAAUUGUAAUUGGUGAGUGAACUCAAAAUGCAUAUAGAGUUGAGAAAAAACGACUGCAAUUUCACUUGAGGUUAAUGGCACCCACAAUGUGUUUUGAUUCCAUCCCCUCUUUUUUUGUAAGCUAAAUUUUGAUUACCAAUCAAAAGAUACAAAGUUAUUACAAACUGACAAAAACAAAUUAUUACAUAUGUAUAUACGUCGUAUAAGGAAUCCACAUAGAUACAUGGACAAAAAGGAUGGCUAACCAUAAAUAACAGACAACAACGAAGACAGAAAGACACCAACACGACGGUGUUCUCUUCUUGAUCAAUGUACCGAGCAACUCUCUCUCUCUCUCUCUCUCUCUCUCUCUCUCUGGUGAAACCCAUUCUGUUCUCCCAUGAUUGUGUCUCAGAAGCUGUGUAUGUACAUGAACGAUGGGAGAGGGAUUUGGACUGAUGAUUCCCAGAGACUCUAGCAGGGCUAUGCAAGCCUUUGCCUUAUUGGGUCUGAGUUGCGUCUUCUCUGAUUUUGCGCAGAUGUUUGCGUGAGUUUUCCUGCUCUGAUGGCUUUAGCUGACUGUGAUCCUAAUGAUUUUCCUGCUCAAGAGAAUAUUCACAGUUUGGACUUAAAAAGACAAUAGAUCAAAAGACAAAUCGAAAUCUUUCAAAGGACAAAUGUGUUGCGUCUUAUUAGGGUGUAACUUGUUCCAUAUCUAAUAGCUGAGGUAUUUGAUUUGAGGUUUGGACAAAGUCUCCAAUAAAACUUAGCUAUCCUAACAUCUAAAUUGUGGUCUGGUACCUUUAUGACCAAUGCAAAACUGAUUCUAUUAUCACUAUCACAAUGUUGAUAAGACUAUUCUCUUAAUGUUAAGCGUAGAGAAAGAGAUCUGACCACUGUUUGGUAGAGAUAACCGUUCCUUUGAAGAUCUUUCUUUUGGAUUGCUGUGAGAUCUUGGAACAGCACCAGGUCUUCUUGAGUUAACUUCAACAGCAAGAUCGUCUUUAGCAAGCUUUGACCUAGCCUUGGAUACCACUGGAAUGCUUGAAGAUACUCCAGGUGAAGAAGAAUCAUUAUCAGACAUAGAUGGCCCUGUUGCCUUCCCACUCGAAACACCACCGGAUACAAGAGUUGAAGUGUUUGGCAUCCUGCUUGCACUUUUCAUCUGUGUUUUAUGCACACUC
Molecule: long non-coding RNA, 27332 nt
Filed under: Brassica rapa (field mustard)
Lineage: Eukaryota; Viridiplantae; Streptophyta; Magnoliopsida; Brassicales; Brassicaceae
Description: long non-coding RNA (BRAP_LNC002078)
Source: RNAcentral